UACGUAGGUGGCAAGCGUUAUCCGGAAUUACUGGGUGUAAAGGGAGCGCAGGCGGGUCAGCAAGUCAGCGGUGAAAUGUAUGGGCUUAACCCAUGAACUGCCGUUGAAACUGUUGAUCUUGAGUGGAGUAGAGUCAGGCGGAAUUCCGAGUGUAGCGGUGAAAUGCGUAGAUAUUCGGAGGAACACUAGUGGCGAAGGCGGCCUGCUGGGCUCUAACUGACGCUGAGGCUCGAAAGUGUGGGGAGCAAAC
RNAcentral lists this ribosomal RNA (250 nucleotides) under uncultured prokaryote. RNAcentral describes it as "partial 16S ribosomal RNA". It matches the Rfam family "Bacterial small subunit ribosomal RNA", at positions 524 to 773 of the family's 1533-position model. The record is from RNAcentral.